GACGAACGCUGGCGGCGUGCUUAACACAUGCAAGUCGAACGGAAAGGCCCUGCUUUUGUGGGGUGCUCGAGUGGCGAACGGGUGAGUAACACGUGAGUAACCUGCCCUUGACUUUGGGAUAACUUCAGGAAACUGGGGCUAAUACCUGAUAGGAGCUCCUGCUGCAUGGUGGGGGUUGGAAAGUUUCGGCGGUUGGGGAUGGACUCGCGGCUUAUCAGCUUGUUGGUGGGGUAGUGGCUUACCAAGGCUUUGACGGGUAGCCGGCCUGAGAGGGUGACCGGCCACAUUGGGAAUGAGAUACGGCCCAGACUCCUACGGGAGGCAGCAGUGGGGAAUAUUGCACAAUGGGCGGAAGCCUGAUGCAGCAACGCCGCGUGCGGGAUGACGGCCUUCGGGUUGUAAACCGCUUUCGCCUGUGACGAAGCGUGAGUGACGGUAAUGGGUAAAGAAGCACCGGCUAACUACGUG
This 468-nucleotide ribosomal RNA is filed under the name uncultured bacterium. RNAcentral describes it as "partial 16S ribosomal RNA". It matches the Rfam family "Bacterial small subunit ribosomal RNA", at positions 28 to 507 of the family's 1533-position model. The record is from RNAcentral.